RNAcentral lists this long non-coding RNA (1455 nucleotides) under Homo sapiens (human). RNAcentral describes it as "OSER1 divergent transcript, transcript variant 3 (OSER1-DT)". The record is from RNAcentral. Lineage: Eukaryota; Metazoa; Chordata; Mammalia; Primates; Hominidae.
CUCAGAAGCACGUGCGCCUUACGUAAUUUCCUGUUAUUCUUCGGUUUGCCUCCUCCCAGUGGCGUGGAUUUGCUCCCGACCCGCUUUUGGGGCGUGCCUGCUUCCUCCUCUCUGUUAGAUCUCGCUCUGUCACCCAGGCUGGAGUGAAAUGGCACAAUCUUGGCUCACUGUAACCUCCGCCCCCAGGUUCGACUGAUUCUCGUGCCUCAGCCUCCUCAGUAGCUGGGAUUACAGAUGAGCCCCAGAGAGGCGAAGCCACUUGAGCUCGUGAGUGACAGUCAGAUGUCAAGCCCUGCUCUUUCUAAAGCGUGCUGCCUUCAGAAAAGAAGAGCCAGAAGGAUGGAAAUUACUUCAGAAAGAUGAAUACCAGCUUUGAAGGAAUAAAAGCUGACGAGGAAUUGAAGGAGUUGAGGCACGAGCUUGAACAGGGUUGCAUGUUUGGCCCUUGAUUGUAAAUGCCCAUUGCUGCACCUGUUCCUGUUACUUGGGGAGUUGCAGCAGAAGGAACAGCGGCCUGGGACUCCAGAGAACUGGGUUCCCUCUCAUCCCUCCAGGGCCACCACUUCUUGUGGGCCCUUGGGCAAGUCACUGUACUUUCUGAGUCUCAGUUUCCCCAUUUGCAGAAUGGAAAUAACUACCCCGGUCUACCAACUUAGAAGAAUUGCUUUGAGGAUCUGAUAAGGUGGUGUGGAUGAUGCUGCCUUGGGGGCUUUACAGUCUGGAGCUCAAGGGACCCCUUAAGUUGGGCUUACUUAGUAACUCCAGGGGUGGGCAGAACAGGACUCCAAUGAGGGUUUUUUUCUUUUUCCCUUUUUUUUCUUUUCCUAUCUCUUAACUUUUAUCUUUAUUAUUUUACAAUGCCCUUGUAAGAUGAAACAAGUGAUGCUGAAAUAUCUUUUUCUUUUUUAACCUUUAUUUUAGAAUUGGGGUACAUGUGCAGGUUUGUUACAUAGGUACAGUGUGGGCUGCUGAGGUUUGGGAGUACGAAUGAAUUAGUCACCCCAGUGGUGAGCAUAGUGCCCGAUAAGUGGUUUUUUCAACCCUUACUCCCAUCCCUCUCCAUUCUUGUGUUCCCCAGUGUCUGCUGUUCCCAUUUUUAUGACCAUGUGUACUCAAUGUUUAGCUCCCACUUAGAAGUAAGAACAUGCCCAGCACUUUGGGAGGCCGAGGUGGGUGGAUCAUGAGGUCAAGAGAUCGAGACCAUCUUGGCUAACAAAGUGAAACCCUGUCUCUACUAAAAACAUAAAAAAUUGGCCGGGUGUGGUGGUGGGCACCUGUAGUCCUAGCUACUCGGGAGGCUGAGACAGGAGAAUCGCCUGAACCGGGGAGGUGGAGGUUGCAGUGAGCUGAGAUUGUACCACUGCACUCCAGCCUGGGUGACAGAGUGAGACUCCAUCUCAAAAAAAUAAAAAUAAAAAAAUAAAAAGAAUGUGGUGUAUGAAAAAAAAAAAAAAA